AUAUAUUUUUCUUUCUGUUUGUGUCCAUUUAUGUAAAAUUUCAGAAAAAAUGAGGAUAUCGGUCCAUAUUUGUUAAUUAAAGAAGAAUUGACUUGUUUCAUAUCAAGUGUUGAGCGUAACAACGCAGAAAUAAAGGUAUAAUUUUGUAACUAAACAGAAUAUAUAUACGUACGUACAUACACGUGUAUAUAUAUAUAUAUAUAUAUAUAUACAUAUUUAUAGGUCUAUGUGUACGAAAUUAUCAUUUUUUUUUUUUUUUUUUUUUUUUUUUUUUCGAUUUUAGGGAGAAAUAAUAUUAAAAUGUGGGAACCAGGAAUAUUUAGAUGUUGAUAUGACUGUCGAAUUAGAUAAAGAAUGUUGUGACAUUUAUGCAACUCAUUUUGCAAAUAUAAAAAAAAGGAAUAAUAAUUUGAAUAUUAAAUUUUCUUGUACACAUGAAAUCAGUAAAAUUGUAACCUACUACUAUAAAAAUAUGAUAUGUCCCUUUGUUGGUACUUAUAAUUUUAAAAAAAUUAACGAAAAGCAAUCAGAAAUUUGUGUAACUUUAAAAAGGAAUUACAAAAUACCUAAUAUAAAAAUAGGGAAAAAAUCAAAUGACUAUUUUUUUUUAAAAUUACCAUUCCCUACUGAAGUUGUUAACUCCAAUUUAAAAUGCGACAUUGGAAAGAUAGAGUUUGAUAAUAAGAAGGAAAUAAAAUGGCUAUUAAACGACUUUACAAAAGAGCAAGCAAUAUUGUCUGGGCUUAUAGAAUUUAGUAACAUGGAACAAUUUCCGGGGCAGCUAGCUGGAUAUAUUAAUAUUUUUUACAAAUCAAAUUACUCUAAAACUAAAAUUACUCAUAUAAAUAAAAAAGUUGUACCUAACUAUUAUUUUCAAUCAAAACAAAUAAAGAUAAUAAGUUCCUAACAAUUUAUAAAUUUCCUCAUUUUGCUGAUUUUUAUAUGUCUGUUAAAGUUUUUUAAAAAGUGAUUUAAAUAAACGUCCUAUAUGAAAAAAAAAAAAAAAAAAA
Molecule: long non-coding RNA, 1010 nt
Filed under: Piliocolobus tephrosceles (Ugandan red Colobus)
Lineage: Eukaryota; Metazoa; Chordata; Mammalia; Primates; Cercopithecidae
Description: lncRNA (ENSPTEG00000021638.1)
Source: RNAcentral